Molecule: ribosomal RNA, 548 nt
Filed under: uncultured Glomeromycotina
Lineage: Eukaryota; Fungi; Glomeromycota
Description: SSU rRNA
Rfam family: Eukaryotic small subunit ribosomal RNA
Source: RNAcentral
UUGGAGGGCAAGUCUGGUGCCAGCAGCCGCGGUAAUUCCAGCUCCAAUAGCGUAUAUUAAAGUUGUUGCAGUUAAAAAGCUCGUAGUUGAAUUUCGGGGUCAGUAGAUUGGUCGUGCCACUGGUAUGUACUGGUCUUACUGGCUCCUCCUUCCUGAUGAACCGUAAUGCCAUUAAUUUGGUGUUGCGGGGAAACUGGACUGUUACUUUGAAAAAAUUAGAGUGUUUAAAGCAGGCUAACGCUUGAAUACAUUAGCAUGGAAUAAUGAAAUAGGACGUUCGAUCUUAUUUUGUUGGUUUCUAGGAUUGACGUAAUGAUUAAUAGGGAUAGUUGGGGGCAUUAGUAUUCAAUUGUCAGAGGUGAAAUUCUUGGAUUUAUUGAAGACUAACUACUGCGAAAGCAUUUGCCAAGGAUGUUUUCAUUAAUCAAGAACGAAAGUUAGGGGAUCGAAGACGAUCAGAUACCGUCGUAGUCUUAACCAUAAACUAUGCCGACUAGGGAUCGGAUGAUGUUAAUUUUUUAAUGACUCAUUCGGCGCCUUACGGGAAA